CCUACGGGUGGCAGCAGUCGAGAAUCAUUCACAAUGGGGGAAACCCUGAUGGUGCGACGCCGCGUGGGGGAAUGAAGGUCUUCGGAUUGUAAACCCCUGUCAUGUGGGAGCAAAUGAAAAAGAUAGUACCACAAGAGGAAGAGACGGCUAACUCUGUUCCAGCCGCCGCGGUAAUACAGAGGUCUCAAGCGUUGUUCGGAAUCACUGGGCGUAAAGCGUGCGUAGGCUGUUUCGUAAGUCCUGUGGUAAAGGAGCGGGGUCAACCCUCGGACGGCACAAGAUACUGAGGGAGUAGAGUAAUGGAGGGGGAAGUGGAAUUCGCGGUGUAGCAGUGAAAUGCGUAGAUAUCGGGAAGAACACUCGUGGCGAAGGCGGGUUCCUGGACAUUAACUGACGCUGAGGCACGAAGGCCAGGGGAGCGAAAGGGAUUAGAUACCCGGGUAGUC
This 446-nucleotide ribosomal RNA is filed under the name uncultured bacterium. RNAcentral describes it as "partial 16S ribosomal RNA". It matches the Rfam family "Bacterial small subunit ribosomal RNA", at positions 338 to 795 of the family's 1533-position model. The record is from RNAcentral.